RNAcentral lists this unclassified non-coding RNA (363 nucleotides) under uncultured Clavaria. RNAcentral's name for it is "sequence contains ITS1". The stretch from base 1 to 107 matches the Rfam family "5.8S ribosomal RNA", at positions 50 to 154 of the family's 154-position model. Lineage: Eukaryota; Fungi; Basidiomycota; Agaricomycetes; Agaricales; Clavariaceae. The record is from RNAcentral.
GAAUUGCGAUAUGUAAUGUGAAUUGCAGAAUUCAGUGAAUCAUCGAAUCUUUGAACGCACAUUGCACCCUCAGGUCUUUUCCAGAGGGUAUGCCUGUUUGAGUGUCGUUGACCCAUCAAUGCAGACAAGUCGUUUCUGAUUUGCUUUCUGUAUUUGGAGGUUGAAGGCUGCCGGCGUCAUGGCCAGCUCCUUUUAAAUUUAUUAGCGGGACUUUGAAGACUCGGCUUCAGUUUGAUAAUGCAUCUAUGCUGUCGCCGAGGAACGUUUGUCUAGCUUAUAACUGUCCUUUUGGACUGUCUCUUAUGAGGCACAACGCAAUCAACUCUUGACCUCAAAUCAGGUAGGACUACCCGCUGAGUUUAA